This 71-nucleotide transfer RNA is filed under the name Loxodonta africana (African savanna elephant). It matches the Rfam family "tRNA". Rfam says of the family: Transfer RNA (tRNA) molecules are approximately 80 nucleotides in length. Their secondary structure includes four short double-helical elements and three loops (D, anti-codon, and T loops). Lineage: Eukaryota; Metazoa; Chordata; Mammalia; Proboscidea; Elephantidae. The record is from Rfam by way of RNAcentral.
GCAGUGGUGUUCCACUGGCAGAAUACUUGUUUCCCACACAAGAGACCCAGGUUCAAUUCCCAGCCAAAGCA